This 666-nucleotide long non-coding RNA is filed under the name Linum usitatissimum (flax). RNAcentral describes it as "long non-coding RNA (LUSI_LNC002169)". Lineage: Eukaryota; Viridiplantae; Streptophyta; Magnoliopsida; Malpighiales; Linaceae. The record is from RNAcentral.
GGUCAAUCUUGACAUGCAUUUUACUCGAAAAAAUCGAUCAGAACGACAGUAUUUUGUGUCUCGAACAUUGAUCACAUUACAGAGUCCUGACAUUGAUCAAUCAUCAAUGAAGCUGAAAAUUUCAUUAUUGUUUAAAAUAAAAAUUUCAUUAUUGUUAUUACAUCACUCGAAUGUCAUCACAUUGUUACACCCUCUUUAUGAAUCUUUUCAACAAUCUAAAGCACGCUUAGUCUUGAAAAAAAAACAAAUCUAAAGCAGUUACAAAUACUAUUUAUAUAGUAUGUAUACAAUAUAGUUUUUUUACAUAUUUUUAUUAUAUGAAAUCAUUUUUUCUGUUAAUAUGUACUUAACACGUGGCAUAAUAGGGGACGCCGUUGGAGGAGGCUGCCGUCGUUGACCGAGCUCCAAAACUCCCCAGGUCAAUGAUUUCAUUGCGGUUGCUGACGUUGUACUCUUGAUGAUGAUCAUCAUAUGGCUGAUUAUUAUUACUAUUCAUCAUGAUGCCGUUUGGUGGUAACGGCACAUCAGGGCCGUCAACUUCAUCAUCAUCAUCACCAUCAUUUUGUUCAUGAUCAUCAUAAAAAUCUGACGGCCCGCAGUAAGCCACGUUUGUUGCAGCAGUGGGAACAGGAUACUCGUGUUGGCCGUUUAGCUGAGAGGCCACCA